RNAcentral lists this ribosomal RNA (322 nucleotides) under uncultured eukaryote. RNAcentral's name for it is "partial 18S ribosomal RNA". It matches the Rfam family "Eukaryotic small subunit ribosomal RNA", at positions 1470 to 1796 of the family's 1831-position model. The record is from RNAcentral.
CCCUUAGAUGUUCUGGGCCGCACGCGCGCUACACUGAUGCAUUCAACGAGUGUACCUUGGCCGAGAGGCCUGGGCAAUCUUUUGAACGUGCAUCGUGAUAGGGAUAGAUUAUUGCAAUUAUUAAUCUUGAACGAGGAAUUCCUAGUAAACGCAGAUCAUCAAUCUGCAUUGAUUACGUCCCUGCCCUUUGUACACACCGCCCGUCGCACCUACCGAUUGAAUGUUUCGGUGAAGAUUCCGGAUAGGACUUUUUUGAUUUAUUUCAAUUCUGUCUUAAAAGCUAUCUAAACCUCAACAUUUAGAGGAAGGUGAAGUCGUAACA